RNAcentral lists this transfer RNA (92 nucleotides) under uncultured Thermomicrobiales bacterium. RNAcentral's name for it is "tRNA-Ser-GCT". It matches the Rfam family "tRNA". Rfam says of the family: Transfer RNA (tRNA) molecules are approximately 80 nucleotides in length. Lineage: Bacteria; Pseudomonadati; Thermomicrobiota; Thermomicrobia; Thermomicrobiales. The record is from RNAcentral.
GGGGAGGUGGCCGAGUGGUUGAAGGCGCGCGCCUGCUAAGUGUGUAAGGGAGUAAUAUCCCUUCGAGGGUUCGAAUCCCUCCCUCUCCGCCA